ACGAACGCUGGCGGCGUGCUUAACACAUGCAAGUCGAACGGAAAGGCCCUGCUUUUGUGGGGUGCUCGAGUGGCGAACGGGUGAGUAACACGUGAGUAACCUGCCCUUGACUUUGGGAUAACUUCAGGAAACUGGGGCUAAUACCGGAUAGGAGCUCCUGCUGCAUGGUGGGGGUUGGAAAGUUUCGGCGGUUGGGGAUGGACUCGCGGCUUAUCAGCUUGUUGGUGGGGUAGUGGCUUACCAAGGCUUUGACGGGUAGCCGGCCUGAGAGGGUGACCGGCCACAUUGGGACUGAGAUACGGCCCAGACUCCUACGGGAGGCAGCGGUGGGGAAUAUUGCACAAUGGGCGGAAGCCUGAUGCAGCAACGCCGCGUGCGGGAUGACGGCCUUCGGGUUGUAAACCGCUUUCGCCUGUGACGAAGCGUGAGUGACGGUAAUGGGUAAAGAAGCAUCGGCUAACUACGUG
Molecule: ribosomal RNA, 467 nt
Filed under: uncultured bacterium
Lineage: Bacteria
Description: partial 16S ribosomal RNA
Rfam family: Bacterial small subunit ribosomal RNA
Source: RNAcentral